AUCACCUAACGAUCUUGUUAAAAUACAGAUUCUGAUUCAGUAGGUUCUGAGGGUGCUAGGAUUCUGUAUUUGUAACAAGCUCCUAGGUGCUGCCAA
Molecule: microRNA precursor, 96 nt
Filed under: Canis lupus familiaris (dog)
Lineage: Eukaryota; Metazoa; Chordata; Mammalia; Carnivora; Canidae
Also listed under: 1 other name
Description: mir-544 microRNA precursor family
Rfam family: mir-544 microRNA precursor family
Source: Rfam by way of RNAcentral